CUCAUUGGUAAACCGUACAAUCGAAAAUGCGAUGUAUACAGUUUCGGUAUUUGUUUGUGGGAGAUUUAUUGUUGUGACAUGCCGUAUCAUGAUCUCAGCUUCUCGGAAUUGACUUCGGCUGUCGUGCACCAGAAUCUGAGGCCAGAGAUACCACGGUGUUGCCCAAGCUCGUUGGGGAAUGUAAUGAGAAGAUGUUGGGAUGCGAAUAGUGAAAGAAGGCCCCAAAUGGAUGAAGUGGUUUCCAUGUUGCAAGCUAUAGAUACAUCAAGGGGAGGUGGUAUGAUUCCUCUCGGUCAAUCCCAUUCUUCGUGUUUUUGCUUCCUCAAGAAUCGAGGCCCGUGACAAAUACGAGGUGGUAUGAUUCCUCUUGAUCAAUCCCAUUCUUCGUGUUUUUGCUUCCUCAAGAAUCGAGGCCCGUGACACAAAUACUCUAAAAGAAUUUUUGUUUAUUUGUCUUUUGAUAUUUGAAAUAAUUUGAACUGCAGCAGUCAAAUAAUGUGCGUGAAAGGGUUUUUCUUAGAGAAUAAUUUGGCAAAUAAAAUGUUUGUUUGUUUGUGUACUUGAUGUUAACGUUUAUCAAUGUACCAAUCAAAUCAAAUUAUGUUUGUUUGAUUAACUUUCUCCCAAAGAUUUUGCAAUAUAAUUCGAUGCAGAGCAAGAAGAAUCCGAGAAGCGUACCAAACAAACCGAAUAAUUAUAUUGUAAGACUUUCACACUUAAAAAAAUUGUUUUAUUACAGAGGAGGAUUUGCAGUCUUCCCUCAAAUUCGAAUGCCUCAACAAUUUUCGACAAUUUUCGAUUUGUGAUACAA
Non-coding RNA from Erythranthe guttata (spotted monkey flower), 811 nucleotides. Lineage: Eukaryota; Viridiplantae; Streptophyta; Magnoliopsida; Lamiales; Phrymaceae. The record is from RefSeq and is a predicted model, not a curated record.